RNAcentral lists this ribosomal RNA (3131 nucleotides) under Nocardia salmonicida NBRC 100376. RNAcentral's name for it is "bacterial LSU rRNA". It matches the Rfam family "Bacterial large subunit ribosomal RNA". Lineage: Bacteria; Bacillati; Actinomycetota; Actinomycetes; Mycobacteriales; Nocardiaceae. The record is from RNAcentral.
GUAAGUGUUUAAGAGCGUACGGUGGAUGCCUUGGCACCAGGAGCCGAUGAAGGACGUAGGAGGCUGCGAUAAGCCUCGGGGAGCUGUCAACCGAGCUGAGAUCCGAGGAUUUCCGAAUGGGGAAACCCAGCACGAGUGAUGUCGUGUUACCCGCAUCUGAAUAUAUAGGGUGUGUGGAGGGAACGUGGGGAAGUGAAACAUCUCAGUACCCACAGGAAGAGAAAACAACAGUGAUUCCGUGAGUAGUGGCGAGCGAAAGCGGAUGAGGCUAAACCAGUUAGAUGUGAUAGACGGCAGUUGUUGUCUAGCUGGGGUAGUGGGAACAUUCUUCUCAACUCUGCCGAGUUGAGCAACAGUAAGAAACCAAGUGGUUAGUUGAAGUGGUCUGGAACGGCCUGCCAUAGACGGUGAUAGUCCGGUAAACGAAAACUUCUUGGCUGUUGUGGAUGUCUCCCGAGUAGCAGCGGGCCCGUGAAAUCUGCUGUGAAUCUGCCGGGACCACCCGGUAAGCCUGAAUACUCCCUGGUGACCGAUAGCGGACUAGUACCGUGAGGGAAAGGUGAAAAGUACCCCGGGAGGGGAGUGAAAUAGUACCUGAAACCGUGCGCUUACAAUCCGUCAAAGCCUUCGCAACUUGUUGUGUGGGGUGAUGGCGUGCCUUUUGAAGAAUGAGCCUGCGAGUCAUCGGUGUGUGGCGAGGUUAACCCGUCGAGGGGUAGCCGUAGCGAAAGCGAGUCUGAAUAGGGCGAAAUUUAGUCGCACAUUAUGGACCCGAAGCGGAGUGAUCUACCCAUGGCCAGGGUGAAGCGACGGUAAGACGUCGUGGAGGCCCGAACCCACUUAGGUUGAAAACUGAGGGGAUGAGCUGUGGGUAGGGGUGAAAGGCCAAUCAAACUCCGUGAUAGCUGGUUCUCCCCGAAAUGCAUUUAGGUGCAGCGUCACGUGUUUCACACCGGAGGUAGAGCUACUGGAUGGCCUAGGGGGCCUACAAGCUUACCGAAGUCAGCCAAACUCCGAAUGCCGGUGUGUGAGAGCGUGGCAGUGAGACUGCGGGGGAUAAGCUUCGUAGUCGAGAGGGAAACAGCCCAGAUCGCCGGCUAAGGCCCCUAAGCGUGUACUAAGUGGAAAAGGAUGUGGGGUCGCUUAGACAACCAGGAGGUUGGCUUAGAAGCAGCCACCCUUGAAAGAGUGCGUAAUAGCUCACUGGUCAAGUGAUCCUGCGCCGACAAUGUAGCGGGGCUCAAGUACACCGCCGAAGCCGCGGCAUUCCAGCAAUAGCCCGUCCAAUCCUUCGGGGUUGGGCCAGGUGCUGGGAUGGGUAGGGGAGCGUCCUGUGGCCGUGGAAGCAGCAGUGUGAACUAGCUGUGGAGGCCACGGGAGUGAGAAUGCAGGCAUGAGUAGCGAAAGACGAGUGAGAAACUCGUCCGCCGAAUGACCAAGGGUUCCUGGGCCAGGUUAAUCCGCCCAGGGUGAGUCGGGACCUAAGGCGAGGCCGACAGGCGUAGUCGAUGGACAACGGGUUGAUAUUCCCGUACCCGUGUAUCCGCGCCCAAUGCUGAAUCAGUUGUGCUAACUGUCCAAAUGUUGUCUUAUCGAGCCUUCGGGUGAGAGGGGUGACGGCUGCACAGGACCCUGACUGUAGUAGGUAAGCGAUGGGGUGACGCAGGAAGGUAGCUGGGCCAGGUGAUGGAAUACCUGGUGUAAGCCUGUAGGGCGAACGGUAGGCAAAUCCGCCGUUCAUAUAGCCUGAGAGGUGAUGCGUACCCGUUGAGGGGAAUUCAGUGAUCCUAUGCUGCCGAGAAAAGCCUCUAGCGAGCUGGUACACGGCCCGUACCCCAAACCGACACAGGUGGUCAGGUAGAGAAUACUAAGGCGAUCGAGAGAACUGUGGUUAAGGAACUCGGCAAAAUGCCCCCGUAACUUCGGGAGAAGGGGGACCACGCCUGGUGAAGGGUUUUACACCUGGAGCUGGGUGGGGUCGCAGAGACCAGAGAGAAGCGACUGUUUACUAAAAACACAGGUCCGUGCGAAGUCGUAAGACGAUGUAUACGGACUGACGCCUGCCCGGUGCCGGAAGGUUAAGAGGACCGGUUAGCCUGUAAGGGCGAAGCUGAGAAUUUAAGCCCCGGUAAACGGCGGUGGUAACUAUAACCAUCCUAAGGUAGCGAAAUUCCUUGUCGGGUAAGUUCCGACCUGCACGAAUGGCGUAACGACUUCUCUGCUGUCUCAACCACAGACUCGGCGAAAUUGCAUUACGAGUAAAGAUGCUCGUUACGCGCGGCAGGACGAAAAGACCCCGGGACCUUCACUAUAGCUUGGUAUUGGUGUUCGGUACGGUUUGUGUAGGAUAGGUGGGAGACUGUGAAGCUCGGACGCUAGUUCGGGUGGAGUCGUCGUUGAAAUACCACUCUGAUCGUAUUGGACUUCUAACCUCGGACCAUGAUCUGGUUCAGGGACAGUGCCUGGUGGGUAGUUUAACUGGGGCGGUUGCCUCCCAAAAUGUAACGGAGGCGCCCAAAGGUUCCCUCAGCCUGGUUGGCAAUCAGGUGUUGAGUGCAAGUGCACAAGGGAGCUUGACUGUGAGACUGACAGGUCGAGCAGGGACGAAAGUCGGGACUAGUGAUCCGGCACCGGCAAGUGGAAGCGGUGUCGCUCAACGGAUAAAAGGUACCCCGGGGAUAACAGGCUGAUCUUCCCCAAGAGUCCAUAUCGACGGGAUGGUUUGGCACCUCGAUGUCGGCUCGUCGCAUCCUGGGGCUGGAGUAGGUCCCAAGGGUUGGGCUGUUCGCCCAUUAAAGCGGCACGCGAGCUGGGUUUAGAACGUCGUGAGACAGUUCGGUCUCUAUCCGCCGCGCGCGUAAGAAACUUGAGGAAGGCUGUCCCUAGUACGAGAGGACCGGGACGGACGAACCUCUGGUGUGCCAGUUGUUCCGCCAGGAGCACUGCUGGUUGGCUACGUUCGGAAGGGAUAACCGCUGAAAGCAUCUAAGCGGGAAGCCUGUUCCAAGAUGAGGUUUCUCUCCCACUUGAUGGGUUAAGGCCCCCUACAGACCAUGGGGUUGAUAGGCCAGAAUUGGAAGCCAGGUAACUGGUGUAGGUGACUGGUACUAAUAGGCCGAGGGCUUACUACG